UACGUAGGGGGCAAGCGUUGUCCGGAUUUAUUGGGCGUAAAGAGCGUGUAGGCGGCCAGAUAGGUCCGUUGUGAAAACUGGAGGCUUAACCUCCAGCUGUCGAUGGAAACCAUCUGGCUAGAGUCCGGAAGAGGAGAGUGGAAUUCCCGGUGUAGUGGUGGAAUGCGUAGAUAUCGGGAGGAACACCGGUGGCGAAGGCGGCUCACUGGGCCGGUCCUGACGCUCAGGCGCGAAAGCGUGGGGAGCGAUCCGG
Molecule: ribosomal RNA, 253 nt
Filed under: uncultured bacterium
Lineage: Bacteria
Description: partial 16S ribosomal RNA
Rfam family: Bacterial small subunit ribosomal RNA
Source: RNAcentral